AGCAGCCGCGGUAAUUCCAGCUCCAAUAGCGUAUAUUAAAGUUGUUGCAGUUAAAAAGCUCGUAGUUGAAUUUCGAGAUCAGUACGCUGGUCGUGCCUUCGGUAUGUACUGGUGUCACUGGUUUCUCCCUUCUGAAGAACCGUUAUGUCAUUAAGUUGGUGUGGCGGGGAAUCAGGACUGUUACUUUGAAAAAUUAGAGUGUUUAAAGCAGGCUCGCGCUUGAAUACAUUAGCAUGGAAUAAUGAAAUAGGACGUUUGACCCUAUUUUGUUGGUUUCUAGGAUCGACGUAAUGAUUAAUAGGGAUAGUUGGGGGCAUUAGUAUUCAAUUGUCAGAGGUGAAAUUCUUGGAUUUAUUGAAGACUAACUACUGCGAAAGCAUUUGCCAAGGAUGUUUUCAUUAAUCAAGAACGAAAGUUAGGGGAUCGAAGACGAUCAGAUACCGUCGUAGUCUUAACCAUAAACUAUGCCGACUAGGGAUCGGGAUGAUGUUAAUUUUUAAUGUACUCA
RNAcentral lists this ribosomal RNA (508 nucleotides) under uncultured Glomeraceae. RNAcentral describes it as "SSU rRNA". It matches the Rfam family "Eukaryotic small subunit ribosomal RNA", at positions 569 to 1082 of the family's 1831-position model. Lineage: Eukaryota; Fungi; Glomeromycota; Glomeromycetes; Glomerales; Glomeraceae. The record is from RNAcentral.